Molecule: long non-coding RNA, 1300 nt
Organism: Prunus avium (sweet cherry)
Lineage: Eukaryota; Viridiplantae; Streptophyta; Magnoliopsida; Rosales; Rosaceae
Source: RefSeq, a predicted model, not a curated record
ACGAUCAGUCGUUUCACCAGAUGUGAGAGAAAAAAUAUCCCACUUUUCUCCCAAAAUUUGACCCUGACCGCUCUGCUACUAAAUACUACUAGAUCUAGUGUGUGUUUUUUAUGUCUGGAGAAAGUGAGAGAAAACAAUGGUGAAGCGGAGGCAGGCGCAUUUGAGCAAGGAUUCAAAGGUGGAAGUUUGUAGCAACGAAGAGGGUUACAGAGGUCCCAUGGUUGUCAGCCAUAAUCCUUGACCCCGAACCAUCAGAUCCGGCCACAAACAACAAAAGGAACAACCUUGGCAACUCAAGCAAGGCUCUGGCGCAGUACAAUAAUCUGGUCUAUGACGAUGACCCAAACAAGCCACUCACUGAGCUCGUUGACGUGUGCUCCAUCCGGCCAGCGCCUCCUCCUGACAAUCCUGACCAGCCCUUCGAGCCAGCCGACGUCGUAGACGCCUCUUACCUUGAUACUUGGUGGGUGGGGGUUGUGAUGAAGUUUGAGGACGACAAGUACACGAGGAUGGCGGAGGCAAUUUCCAGCCCUAAUCAUGAUGCAACAAUUUUACAUCUUUCCAAGAACUUAAGAUGGGUUCAUCCAGAACACUCCUUAUCUUUUGCACAAUCAUUUUCAAGGAGAACGCCAGUUAAAACAUCAAACAAAGAAGCCCCAGUUAGAGAUGGUGCGGUAAGUGAACUCUUGAAAAAAAUGUUGUUGGUAUAUAUAUUCUCCUAUUGCUGAGUGUUCCUUUGGGGUAAACAAAAUCAUGACUCAAUUCUUCCCUCUACAACUAAGUUUACGAAACUCUGGACUAUUACCUGCCUUUCUUAGAGUAUUGCUACCUACUGAAACUGAGGAGGAUUGCAAGGCUUUACCCUUACCAAGUCUAAUUCGAAUUCGAAUUCUUUCCAACCCAAUGUGGAUACGUCCAGCUGAACAAUGUUACGAGGCUCAUUGUUGUUAGAGUCGUCGGAUAUGUCUUCAAAACUGUAAUACCUGACCAGGAACUCACUUUAAGGAUAAUGUAGCCUGAUCAUUCCUUUAAUCGUCUCCUCCAAACUAGGAAUGCCAUUGUGGCCAGAAACUCGCACAUGCCCAAGCAAGUGGUCUAUCCCUCCAUCAAAAUCAUCUACCUUAUACAGCUGGAUCCUAUAAUCAUCUAUCUCUAGAAGCACAUCGAAGGCGAAAAUAUAGCGUACAUGCUGCAAAAAGAUAUCAAAAAACAUCUCAUUCAUUUAGAGUAAAAUCCAUUCAUCACCAUCUACAGCAACGUAAUCGAAAGUAAAUUUUUUGAUCAGUGGGGUAUUGUAAGU